CCAAAUUUGCCUUCAACAUCACAUGCUCCAACUGCCUUUUGAACCCCAGAGAGUACAAUUUUUUCAUGUCUUCUUUUACUGGGCUUGUAAGAAUGCUCAUGCCCUAAAUUUAUUCUAUUCCCAAUCCAAUUCCUAUGUUACUGAACUGAAAAAUGUACCCAUGCAUUAUUGAUGAAAUCCACAUCUCACACCAUCUACUCAUGCAAAUUUUGCAGUACAAACUUUCUCAGGAAACCGGUCUUUCAAUGUUCAUUUAAUCAUAAGCCUCAUCUUCAAACAAUGAUGUGAUCAGAGUAAAUAAAUUCUAUGGCAUAAAAUCACGGGCAGCUCGGCAUGAGCAUCAUAUGGCAAGGAAAUUAGAAAGAUCAUCACAAUCCAAAUUAGUUGCACUCCAUCCCAUUGUUCUUGACGAUCUAAGAUAUUUGAGUCAAAACUAUCAGAUUGCAGAAUUUUAUUAAUUCCAAAAGUUGUCCCAGAUAUGUCAUGAAUUUGAGGAUGUGAGCUAUCUGAAACAAAGAAUUCGUAAACAAGACCAUUUACUUCAACUAAAGAGCAUCCGGGUUGCUUUUGGGUUCCAUGAACGAACAUGUUUUUCCUUUACCCACUUUCACAUCACUCCACCUAGAGGCAGAAGCAUAAACAUUAGACAAAAGAACACGUGCCCCGCACUUUCUAGGUUCUAAUUCUUCAAUUUUGUUCACUGCAAACUCGGCCAGUUCUACAUUCCCAUGACUCCUACAUGCAAAAAGUAGGGAUCCCCACAUAACCACACCAGAUGGAAUGGGAAAUGACUUCAUAAACUUCACUGCCUCAACCAAAAGGUUUGCCCGACCAAGAAGAUCAACCAUGCACCCACAGUGUUCAAGCCGAGGGGUGAGACCAUAGCAUCUAAUCAUUGCUUCGAAAUAGUAAAACCCUUUAUCCACGAAUCCACUGUGACUACAAGCAGACAAGACCCCAAGAACUGUGACCUCAUUUGGCUUGACAUCACUUUACAAUUCCAUCAGAGAAGAGAAUUGCAAUGCCUUCUCAGACUGCCUAUUCAUGGCAAGCCCUGAUAUCAUCGUGGUCCAUGAAAAGACAUCUUUCUUGGCUAGUCCAUGAAAAAUUUCAAGAGAUUUUUCAAUAUCUCCAGACUUAAGAGUACAUAUCGACCAAAGCACUCACCAUAGUAACCUGAUUUGGCCUCACAUUACCAUCACCCAACAAUUCCACAAACACCUUCAAUGCAUUGGCAUAGCAAUCACUAUGUACACACCCAGAAAUCACACUAUUCCAAGUCACACAUCCCGAACCAAACCCGGAACCUUAUCAAACACCCUCCGCCCAAAUUCAACAAAACCACACUGAAAAUACAUCGAUAUCAGCUCAUUUUGCACAAAAACAUCGAAUUCAAGCCCGAGCUUCUCACUCAAACAAUGAAUUUCAAGGCCUUUUCAAUCAACCCAAGUCUACCACAAGCCUUGAGGACAAAAGGGGAUGUAUGCUUAUCAGGGAAAACGCUAUUACACCUCAUAAGAUUGUAAAUAUUGACCGAUUGUUGGGGAGACCAACUCCGAGAAUAGGCUGGAACAUGAAAUUCCAAGAAAAGAGAUCUGGGUUUUGGAUGUGGAAGAAAGUGGAGGAUGAGAAAGAGAGGAAAUGGUGGGGGGAAGAGAGAGAGAGAGAGAGAGAGAGAAAGAGAGAGAGAGAUGGAUAACAGAGGAAGAGCUAGGUGUAGAUAAUUUUGCAAUUUUUGUUAAUGGUGCUGAGUUGAAUCCAUUCUAUGGCCAUCCAUCUUCGUCUGUGUGUUUGGGUGAGAGAUGAAAGGGAAGAAAGAGGCUUAACAGCAAAGAGAGAGAAAGA
Non-coding RNA from Camellia sinensis, 1845 nucleotides. The record is from RefSeq and is a predicted model, not a curated record. NCBI's taxonomy places the organism in Eukaryota, Viridiplantae, Streptophyta, Magnoliopsida, Ericales, Theaceae.